RNAcentral lists this small nuclear RNA (155 nucleotides) under Pogona vitticeps (central bearded dragon). RNAcentral describes it as "U1 spliceosomal RNA (ENSPVIG00000007330.1)". It matches the Rfam family "U1 spliceosomal RNA". Rfam says of the family: U1 is a small nuclear RNA (snRNA) component of the spliceosome (involved in pre-mRNA splicing). Its 5' end forms complementary base pairs with the 5' splice junction, thus defining the 5' donor site of an intron. Lineage: Eukaryota; Metazoa; Chordata; Lepidosauria; Squamata; Agamidae. The record is from RNAcentral.
ACUCAUACUUGGUAGGGGAGAUACCGCUGUUGUAAAAGUUGUUUUCCUGCUGUAAGGCUCAUCUAUUGUAUUCUGGAUGUGCUGACCCCUGUGAUUUUCCCAAAUGUGGGGAAAUCAACUGCCUAAGUGGGGGACUAUGUUUGUGGUUUCUCCUG